This 324-nucleotide ribosomal RNA is filed under the name uncultured bacterium. RNAcentral describes it as "bacterial SSU rRNA". It matches the Rfam family "Bacterial small subunit ribosomal RNA", at positions 28 to 334 of the family's 1533-position model. The record is from RNAcentral.
GACGAACGCUGGCGGCGUGCUUAACACAUGCAAGUCGAACGGAGCACCCCUGAAGGAGUUUUCGGACAACGGAUGGGAAUGCUUAGUGGCGGACUGGUGAGUAACGCGUGAGGAACCUGCCUUCCAGAGGGGGACAACAGUUGGAAACGACUGCUAAUACCGCAUGAUGCGUUGGAGCUGCAUGACUCUGACGUCAAAGAUUUAUCGCUGGAAGAUGGCCUCGCGUCUGAGUAGCUAGUUGGUGAGGUAACGGCCCACCAAGGCGACGAUCAGUAGCCGGACUGAGAGGUUGGCCGGCCACAUUGGGACUGAGAUACGGCCCAG